Molecule: ribosomal RNA, 148 nt
Filed under: uncultured bacterium
Lineage: Bacteria
Description: partial 16S ribosomal RNA
Rfam family: Bacterial small subunit ribosomal RNA
Source: RNAcentral
UGAUCCAGCCAUGCCGCGUGUGUGAAGAAGGUCUUCGGAUUGUAAAGCACUUUUAGUUGGGAGGAAGGGCAGUGAGUUAAUACCUUGCUGUUUUGACGUUACCGACAGAAUAAGCACCGGCUAACUCUGUGCCAGCAGCCGCGGUAAU